RNAcentral lists this ribosomal RNA (277 nucleotides) under uncultured prokaryote. RNAcentral describes it as "partial 16S ribosomal RNA". It matches the Rfam family "Bacterial small subunit ribosomal RNA", at positions 524 to 801 of the family's 1533-position model. The record is from RNAcentral.
UACGUAGGGGCAAGCGUUGUCCGGAAUGACUGGGCGUAAAGGGCGUGUAGGCGGCCGAUUAAGUCUGGAGUGAAAGUCCCGCUUUCAAGGUGGGAAUUGCUUUGGAAACUGGUUGGCUUGAGUGCGGAAGAGGUAAGUGGAAUUCCCAGUGUAGCGGUGAAAUGCGUAGAGAUUGGGAGGAACACCAGUGGCGAAGGCGGCUUUCUGGCCAGUUACUGACGCUCAUGCGCGAAAGCUGGGGUAGCGAACCGGAUUAGAUACCCUGGUAGUCCCUGAG